UACGUAGGGUCCGAGCGUUGUCCGGAAUUAUUGGGCGUAAAGGGCUCGUAGGCGGUCUGUUGCGUCGGGAGUGAAAACUUACAGCUUAACUGUGAGCGUGCUUUCGAUACGGGCAGACUUGAGGCAUUCAGGGGAGAACGGAAUUCCUGGUGUAGCGGUGAAAUGCGCAGAUAUCAGGAGGAACACCGGUGGCGAAGGCGGGUCUCUGGGCCGAUACUGACACUCAGACACGACAGCAUGGGGAGCGAACGGG
Molecule: ribosomal RNA, 253 nt
Filed under: uncultured bacterium
Lineage: Bacteria
Description: partial 16S ribosomal RNA
Rfam family: Bacterial small subunit ribosomal RNA
Source: RNAcentral